This 492-nucleotide ribosomal RNA is filed under the name uncultured bacterium. Its description in RNAcentral is "partial 16S ribosomal RNA". It matches the Rfam family "Bacterial small subunit ribosomal RNA", at positions 29 to 507 of the family's 1533-position model. The record is from RNAcentral.
AGUGAACGCUGGCGGUAGGCCUAACACAUGCAAGUCGAACGGCAGCACAGUAAGAGCUUGCUCUUACGGGUGGCGAGUGGCGGACGGGUGAGGAAUACAUCGGAAUCUACUUUUUCGUGGGGGAUAACGUAGGGAAACUUACGCUAAUACCGCAUACGAUCUACGGGUGAAAGCAGGGGAUCUUCGGACCUUGCGCGAUUGAAUGAGCCGAUGUCGGAUUAGCUAGUUGGCGGGGUAAAGGCCCACCAAGGCGACGAUCCGUAGCUGGUCUGAGAGGAUGAUCAGCCACACUGGAACUGAGACACGGUCCAGACUCCUACGGGAGGCAGCAGUGGGGAAUAUUGGACAAUGGGCGCAAGCCUGAUCCAGCCAUACCGCGUGGGUGAAGAAGGCCUUCGGGUUGUAAAGCCCUUUUGUCGGGAAAGAAAAGCAGCAGGUUAAUACCCCGCUGUUCUGACGGUACCCAAAGAAUAAGCACCGGCUAACUUCGUG